Molecule: transfer RNA, 65 nt
Filed under: Eurytrema pancreaticum
Lineage: Eukaryota; Metazoa; Platyhelminthes; Trematoda; Plagiorchiida; Dicrocoeliidae
Description: tRNA-Gln
Source: RNAcentral
UGUAGUUUGGUGUACUAUGUGCAUGUUGCGGUUUGGUCGCAGAGGUGAUUGGUUAUUGACUGCAG